RNAcentral lists this ribosomal RNA (332 nucleotides) under uncultured eukaryote. Its description in RNAcentral is "partial 18S ribosomal RNA". It matches the Rfam family "Eukaryotic small subunit ribosomal RNA", at positions 1470 to 1796 of the family's 1831-position model. The record is from RNAcentral.
CCCUUAGAUGUUCGGGGCCGCACGCGCGCUACACUGAAUGGAUCAACGUGCCUUUCCCGAGGCUGAAAAGUCGAGGUAAUCCGUUGAACCCCAUUCGUGACGGGGAUAGGAGCUUGCAAUUAUUCUCCUUGAACGAGGAAUUCCCAGUAAGCGCGAGUCAUCAGCUCGCGUUGAUUACGUCCCUGCCCUUUGUACACACCGCCCGUCGCUACUACCGAUCGGAUUGUCCCGUGAAUUUCUAGGAGAGUUGAGGUCCUGGCGCUUCGGUGUCGGCGACCUCAUGCUUGAAUUGAAUUGAACUGGACUCUCUAGAGGAAGUAAAAGUCGUAACA